RNAcentral lists this ribosomal RNA (234 nucleotides) under uncultured bacterium. Its description in RNAcentral is "partial 16S ribosomal RNA". It matches the Rfam family "Bacterial small subunit ribosomal RNA", at positions 524 to 757 of the family's 1533-position model. The record is from RNAcentral.
UACGUAGGGUGCGAGCGUUAAUCGGAAUUACUGGGCGUAAAGCGUGCGCAGGCGGUUUUGUAAGCCAGAUGUGAAAUCCCCGGGCUUAACCUGGGAAUGGCAUUUGGGACUGCAAGGCUCGAGUGCGGCAGAGGAGACUGGAAUUCCUGGUGUAGCAGUGAAAUGCGUAGAUAUCAGGAGGAAUACCGAUGGCGAAGGCAGGUCUCUGGGCUGACACUGACGCUCAUGCACGAA